This is a long non-coding RNA of Gallus gallus (chicken), 2643 nucleotides long. The record is from Ensembl. Lineage: Eukaryota; Metazoa; Chordata; Aves; Galliformes; Phasianidae.
AGUACUGAGAGACUGCUGCUCCAUGUCACUUUGAAUUGCUGUUUUAUAUGGUAUCAUGUUUGAUCUAAUCACUUCUUAGAUACCAGGACAAUCAUAUAUCCCUGAAGGUUUUUUUCAGACAGACUAAGAGGUGUCAUUUACAUCCUCAAUUCAUUGUGACUGAAGGAAUCUCUUUUGAGAGAUAUUCUCUGCCAGGAGAAAUCCUUCAAGGGGAUUCUUCAAGAAUGAGCUGAAAGGAGACUUAAAUACACAGCAAAGGUCUGACAGUGCUCUUGCAAGGGAAUAGUGAACUGAGAAAAGUGCAACAGCGAGUGCACUGAUCCUGUCUUCUCCUAUCUUUCUAGAAAGAAGGUAAGUGGUUUGGGCUUUGCAUUGUCCUUUACAGAAUAACAUCCACAAUGAACCAUCUGGGUUUUGCUUUCAAGUUAACCUGCGAGGACUUCUAAGGCCGCAGUAUCAUUUCUGACUUACAUGCUUUCCAAAGAAAACAUGGUUAGAAAAUGAAAGCAUUCAGCAGGUAGAGCAGAGCUUACAAGGCUUUUUCUCUUUCUGGGAGUGAAAAAAACAACUUCUAUUAGAAGUCAAUGCAAAAACAGUAGCAGGACAGUACCUCAGUGUCUUCGAUAUAAGGUGAUAAAAGUCAUACAAACCAUAUUUGACAAUCUGGAGUAAUUACCUUCUGGGUUCAGUGCUAACAUUGGUUCAAGAUAUCUUUUAAAGUCAAAGCUGAUCAAAGUCAGACACAAGUUGUAAAACGUGAUUACUUGAAAAUCUGAUGCCACAUUUUACAGCAAUCUUUGAAGAGUGGUUGCAGUGUACCUGGUGUUUCAUCCCCUCUGGAUACAUCCACCUUGUACCCAGGAGUAAAGUCCUCUCUAAGAAGUGCAUCGCUUUUGUUCAUAGACAAUCUGAUUAAGGAAAUGAUUUCUAAAAAAAAUGUGAGGUACAUGUCACAUUUUUGUCUCUAUUAGAAAAUGUCCUGUAAUAUCAACAGUGGGUCCAUUAUUAUAAUCAUUCUGUAAUGAGGGACUUGCUAUAGAGAUUCAUUAAGAGGAAAAACAAAAUUAGUCCAGUAGUGUCUGCUCAUUGUGAACAUGUAUCUAUUCUACAAAGAAGAAAAUACCCUAAAGAAAACUCUUAAAAAGUGGUUAAUUAACACAUAAGCCACAAAUGUCGGAGUAUCGUAAAUAUUCAAAUAGUGAUGGAUAGUGGGAUAAACCCUGAGUGCAUGCCAUAAGUUUUUUUAUCUCCAUAGAUAUCUUGAGUUGGAUAUUUACAGUAAAUUACAGCUGCACAUGCUUUACUCCAGAGCCAUAUGUUUUAUUAUUCAACCAGAUGUAAGCCAUAAAACUGUUUUAUCUAUUUUGUGGUUCAGCCUAGUACUAAUAAAAUAAACUACAAAUACCUGACUUAAAGCUUUGUUGGCAUUUUUGCACUUCAGUGAAGUGCAGUGCCAACGCCUCAUGCAGCGAAAGUGAUCUAAGAAAAUCAUUUGUUCUUCCCAUUUCUUAAACUUUCACAAGGACCUAAAAUAUUUGAAUGAACAGCUAUAACUUGUUCUUUUAUUGUUUUUCAUCAAAUGGACUAUCACCGUCACUGAUAGUUCAUGUAUGCUUCCUGCUGAUUGUAAAGGACAUUGCAAGGGGCCUGUAUUUUACCUAAGCAUUGACAUCACUGAUAUUCCUUAAAUGUUCCUUAAGGGUAGCAUCAAAUUGCAAAAAUAAUCAUCUAACCUAGAAAGGAAGUAUUUAGUUAUAUAAAAGAAAGAUAAUAUUGCAGCUAACAGGACAUUCCUCUUACUUUUCUUUAUCUUGUAUUUAAUCUUGGACUCAAGAAUCAAACAGUAUUAAUUUAUCUUACUAAUAUUUGGGGAGCAAGAGUCUUUUAAGCACCUGUGAAAGCUGUCCUAAGUGCACUCACAAAUGUUUUACAUUUAUGUCAAAUGUGGUGGAAGACAAAUUUGGCUUUCUUAUUAUUUUUUUGCCAAAAAGAUUUCUCAGAGGUCAUAAAAUCCUAUUUUUGGUGUGGAAUGUGACCAUAAGCAACACAGCAUAUCAUGGGGGUAUAGAAGACAGAGAAUUUAGUGAAAAGAUAACAAAAUAUAGCCAGUUUUCUGAAUGCUUUUAGUUAUACUACUGGCCUUGGACUACUAUGCUCAAUCUCAAGGUUGUCGUGGACAUCUGCUAAUAAGUCUCCUUUGCCAAACAACAUUAAUUUGACCCUCAAAAUGCAUAGCCCUAGCGAACUAAUGAGGAACAGAAUCCUGAAUGUUUAUCAAAGGGGACUCUCUUCCAUUCCAUCCACCUCUUGCAUACUUUCAAAGAAUUAAUCUAUUUUAACAAGGGACCCUCUCCCUAUUCUAUGGCCUCAAUUCAAUCCCUAAAACAGGGGAUUAAAUCCAACAUUCUGCCAGUUGAAAUUAAAGUGGUUUUACUUGUUGUUUUUCAAGCUACUCUGAGUGUUAAUUGGGGUAAAAUCUGCAGCUCCCGGAUUACCAUUCACAUUUCUAUUAACAGAGAAGGAAAACUGCCUGAAGUACAACAAUUACUAAGAAAGUCCAUUAACCCUUUCUCAAUGUAAUAAGCAGAUAUCACACAGGCAAUUUAAAAUGUUUUCAUUACUCCACAUGCAAUAAUAAAGUUG